This 497-nucleotide ribosomal RNA is filed under the name uncultured bacterium. RNAcentral's name for it is "partial 16S ribosomal RNA". It matches the Rfam family "Bacterial small subunit ribosomal RNA", at positions 28 to 507 of the family's 1533-position model. The record is from RNAcentral.
GAUGAACGCUGGCGGCGUGCCUAAUACAUGCAAGUCGAGCGAACAGACGAGGAGCUUGCUCCUCUGACGUUAGCGGCGGACGGGUGAGUAACACGUGGAUAACCUACCUAUAAGACUGGGAUAACUUCGGGAAACCGGAGCUAAUACCGGAUAAUAUAUUGAACCGCAUGGUUCAAUAGUGAAAGACGGUUUUGCUGUCACUUAUAGAUGGAUCCGCGCCGCAUUAGCUAGUUGGUAAGGUAACGGCUUACCAAGGCAACGAUGCGUAGCCGACCUGAGAGGGGGAUCGGCCCCCCUGGAACUGGGACCCGGUCCAGACUCCUACGGGAGGCAGCAGUAGGGAAUCUUCCGCAAUGGGGGAAAGCCUGACGGGGCAACGCCGCGUGAGGGAUUAAGGUUUUCGGAUCGUAAAACUCUGUUAUUAGGGAAGAACAAAUGUGUAAGUAACUAUGCACGUCUUGACGGUACCUAAUCAGAAAGCCACGGCUAACUACGUG